Molecule: ribosomal RNA, 493 nt
Filed under: uncultured bacterium
Lineage: Bacteria
Description: partial 16S ribosomal RNA
Source: RNAcentral
GUAGUUAGCCGGUGCUUUCUUGUUGGGUACCGUCAUUAUCGUCCCCAACGACAGGAGUUUACAAUCCGAAAACCUUCUUCCCUCACGCGGCGUUGCUGGGUCAGGCUUGCGCCCAUUGCCCAAUAUUCCCCACUGCUGCCUCCCGUAGGAGUCUGGACCGUGUCUCAGUUCCAGUGUGGCCGAUCAGCCUCUCAGCUCGGCUACCCAUCGUCGGCUUGGUGGGCUGUUAUCUCACCAACUACCUAAUGGGACGCGAACCCCUCUAAAAGCGAUAAAUCUUUGACCUCUUCCCGAUGCCGGGUUGUGGUCUUAUGCGGUAUUAGCAGUUGUUUCCACCUGUUAUUCCCCACUCUUAGGCAGGUUGUUCACGCGUUACUCACCCGUGCGCCACUAGAAUUAUCAAUUCCAUCCGAAAACUUCCUUAAUAAUCCCCGUUCGACUUGCAUGUGUUAGGCACGCCGCCAGCGUCUCCUGAGCCACANAUACAACUACU